This is a transfer RNA of Clohesyomyces aquaticus, 87 nucleotides long. It matches the Rfam family "tRNA". Rfam says of the family: Transfer RNA (tRNA) molecules are approximately 80 nucleotides in length. Their secondary structure includes four short double-helical elements and three loops (D, anti-codon, and T loops). Lineage: Eukaryota; Fungi; Ascomycota; Dothideomycetes; Pleosporales; Lindgomycetaceae. The record is from Rfam.
GGUCCUGUAGUGUAGUUGGUUAUCACUUCGGAUUCUGACCGACAUCAGAACAUUCCGGCGACCCCGGUUCGAAUCCGGGCAGGACCU